GACGUAGGGCGCGAGCGUUGUCCGGAAUUAUUGGGCGUAAAGAGCUCGUAGGCGGUCUGUUGCGUCCGCUGUGAAAACCCGGGGCUUAACCCCUGGCUUGCAGUGGAUACGGACAGACUAGAGGUAGGUAGGGGAGAAUGGAAUUCCCGGUGUAGCGGUGAAAUGCGCAGAUAUCGGGAGGAACACCGGUGGCGAAGGCGGUUCUCUGGGCCUUACCUGACGCUGAGG
This 228-nucleotide ribosomal RNA is filed under the name uncultured bacterium. RNAcentral describes it as "partial 16S ribosomal RNA". It matches the Rfam family "Bacterial small subunit ribosomal RNA", at positions 524 to 751 of the family's 1533-position model. The record is from RNAcentral.